Molecule: ribosomal RNA, 760 nt
Filed under: Cladophialophora abundans
Lineage: Eukaryota; Fungi; Ascomycota; Eurotiomycetes; Chaetothyriales; Herpotrichiellaceae
Description: partial large subunit ribosomal RNA
Rfam family: Eukaryotic large subunit ribosomal RNA
Source: RNAcentral
GGGUUCCGAGUUGUAAUUUGUAGAGGAUGUUUUGGGUACCGCCCCCGGUUCUAAAUUUCUUGGAACAGAAUGUCAGAGAGGGUGAGAAUCCCGUCUUGGGCCGGCGGUAGGGCCUGUGUAAAACUCCUUCGACGAGUCGAGUUGUUUGGGAAUGCAGCUCAAAAUGGGUGGUAAAUUUCAUCUAAAGCUAAAUAUUGGCCGGAGACCGAUAGCGCACAAGUAGAGUGAUCGAAAGAUGAAAAGCACUUUGAAAAGAGAGUUAAACAGUAUGUGAAAUUGUUGAAAGGGAAGCGCUUGCAACCAGACUUGAGCGUGGCGGUUCCCCUAGCCUUUUGGCUCGGUUACUCCGUCAUGUCCAGGCCAACAUCGGUUCUGGGGGUCGGUUAAAGGCCCCGGGAAUGUAUCUACCCACGGGUAGACUUAUAGACCGGGGCGUCAUGCGGCCUCUCAGGACCGAGGAACGCGCUUCGGCUCGGAUGUUGGCGUAAUGGUUGUCAGCGACCCGUCUUGAAACACGGACCAAGGAGUCUAACAUCUAUGCGAGUGUUUGGGUGUCAAACCCGGAACGCGGAAUGAAAGUGAACGGAGGUAGGAAGCUUCGGCUGCACUAUCGACCGAUCCUGAAGUUUACGGAUGGAUUUGAGUAAGAGCAUAGCUGUUGGGACCCGAAAGAUGGUGAACUAUGCCUGAAUAGGGUGAAGCCAGAGGAAACUCUGGUGGAGGCUCGCAGCGGUUCUGACGUGCAAAUCGAUCGUCAAAU